RNAcentral lists this ribosomal RNA (438 nucleotides) under uncultured bacterium. RNAcentral's name for it is "partial 16S ribosomal RNA". It matches the Rfam family "Bacterial small subunit ribosomal RNA", at positions 339 to 795 of the family's 1533-position model. The record is from RNAcentral.
CUACGGGGUGCAGCAGUGGGGAAUAUUGCACAAUGGGCGAAAGCCUGAUGCAGCAACGCCGCGUGAGUGAUGAAGGUUUUCGGAUCGUAAAACUCUGUUCUAAGGGAAGAUAAUGACGGUACCUUAGGAGAAAGCCCCGGCUAACUACGUGCCAGCAGCCGCGGUAAUACGUAGGGGGCAAGCGUUAUCCGGAAUUACUGGGCGUAAAGGGUGCGUAGGUGGCCUGACAAGUCAGGGGUCAAAGGCAACGGCUCAACCGUUGUAAGCCCUUGAAACUGUCGGGCUUGAGUUCAGGAGAGGAAAGCGGAAUUCCAAGUGUAGCGGUGAAAUGCGUAGAUAUUUGGAGGAACACCAGUGGCGAAGGCGGCUUUCUGGACUGAUACUGACACUGAGGCACGAAAGCGUGGGGAGCAAACAGGAUUAGAUACCCCUGUAGUC